This 119-nucleotide ribosomal RNA is filed under the name Pteropus alecto (black flying fox). The record is from RNAcentral. Lineage: Eukaryota; Metazoa; Chordata; Mammalia; Chiroptera; Pteropodidae.
GUCUAUGGCCAUGUUACCCUGAACAAGCCCAAUCUGGUCUGAUCUUGGAAGCUAAGCAGGAUUGGGCCUGGUUAUACAUUGGAUGGGAGACCACCUAGGAAGACUAGGUGCUAUAGAUG